Molecule: ribosomal RNA, 356 nt
Filed under: uncultured bacterium
Lineage: Bacteria
Description: partial 16S ribosomal RNA
Rfam family: Bacterial small subunit ribosomal RNA
Source: RNAcentral
ACUACGGGUGGCAGCAGUGGGGAAUAUUGCACAAUGGGGGAAACCCUGAUGCAGCAACGCCGCGUGAGUGAGGAAGUAUUUGGGUAUGGAAAGCUCUAUCAGCAGGGAAAAGAAAAGAAGGUACCGGAAAAAGAAGCACCGGCGAACUAAGAGCCAGCAGACGCGGUAAUACGUAGGGGGCAAGCGUGAUCCGGAUGUACUGGGUGUAAAGGGAGCGUAGACGGAAAGGUAAGGCACAGGUGAAAGUCCAAGGCUCAAACAUGGGACCGCUUUUGAAAAUGGCAAACUAGAGUACGUGAGAGGUAAGCGGAAUGCCUGGUGUAGCGGUGAAAUGCGUAGAUAUUAGGAGGAACACC